This 189-nucleotide non-coding RNA is filed under the name Staphylococcus aureus. Its description in RNAcentral is "6S RNA". It matches the Rfam family "6S / SsrS RNA". From Rfam's summary of the family: E. coli 6S RNA was the first non coding RNA to be sequenced, but its function was unknown until recently. The record is from RNAcentral. Lineage: Bacteria; Bacillati; Bacillota; Bacilli; Caryophanales; Staphylococcaceae.
AGUCAUCUGAGUUGUUCGUAAGUUUGCUUUUUAAUUUGGGCCUAACACUCUUUGAUCAAGAGCCCAAUGGGUUUUCUUGCAGCGUACACGCCUUAUAUGAAGGACGUACAAAACAAGAAACAGGGCACCCACCUGUAUAUAACAGGCCGAAUGAUCAAGCUAUUAUAACUACGGCAAUACGGACUCUAU